AAAGGGACCAGGCCUGGGAUCGUGAAACAUCUGGGGAAACGACUCCACUCACUCACCUGCAGACUGAGAGCCCAUCUUGUACCGUGUUAUACUUUAAGAGAGUUGACUGUUGAGAUGAUGAUGAAAACGGAAGAACAACUGAGCCUAGUUGGAGGCUCUUUGAAGUCCCAGAACCUCCUCCUGGAAGCCCUCUUUGGUUAACCAGAUGGACAUCUCAGUUGCCCUCUGAGCCUGAACCAAGUGUCAGGAAGAGUUUUCUAUGGCCCUUGACUCCUUAACUCUUUGCUUAUAGCGUCUCUGCUCUCUGAUGCCUCUGCUGUCAGAGAAAGGCUGUGGUUUAAAUAUUUAUUUAUGAAUCCAUCAGCUUGGGCCAACUAGGUCCAUUUAUCACCGUUUUGACUGUGUCUAAACUGUCAUUAGUGGUGUGACUAGAAACCAGUUAAUUUCGCUGGGUGGUAAAUUCGUGGACUGAUCUCCAAACCCUCCUACUGUGCUAAUGUUGCCAAUGGAAGUUUCCAGAGGCCAGGAUCCCUGGCCAACACGUGAUCGUAAACAACAUCAGGGCCUCACAGGGAACUCACAAUUUACUGAGGUUUGCUCUGUGCCAGGUGUUUUCAUGAUCCUCCAUCCCCUUGUCGUUUAGUCCUCUUCUCUGAGUCCUCCCCAUUUUACUGAUGAGGACGGAAAUCGAGGCACACGAUUAAGCGUUUCCCUGGGUCACACAGCUAAUGAAUGGCGAGCUGGAAGUCAGUCCCAGGUCAUCAGACUCCGAAGUCCAUGGUUUUGGUGAUGAAGGUGGGCUGUGAAAUGUGUGUCUUAUUCUAUGCAUGUGAGUCCGCUGGAACCAACUUUUCCACUUGGAACACAAUCUCAGUGCCUUUCAGCAGGUAACCGGCGCCAGACCAGAUCUCCAGAGAUGGAGGUGGUCGGCCUCAGGGCCCAGCCAUGAGAAGGUGUAUGAGGAGGCAUCGCAUCAGGCGCCCACCCUGUGCUUGCAGGGCCUGACCAUGAGCGCCGCCUUCAGUUUUACACCUUAGGCACCCCACUUGGCUCCCCUUCGUCCCAGCCCUGCCAGACCCACCCUUGACUCUGUGUUUCCUUUCUGGAAACUCGAGAGGCCAUUUCUACUUAAAGAGUCCUCACCUGGCCUACCAGCGACCAGAUCUGCCCAAGUGCAGAAGAAACACUUGGUUAUCUCCUCUUUCAUCGUCCCCGCUCGAGCAUAAAACAACAGAAAGUUUCCUAUCGGAACAGCAUGCUUGUGCCAAAAACAAAUUAGAAACAACAACAACUUCUCAAAAUUUUGAGCAAAAUGAUGGUGACCGUGUUCUGGAAAUGGAGCAAAGUGAGUGAGCCACUGUCACUGUUACAUCUGACAAUCACUACUGGUACUUGGCUAAAUAUUGCAGCCACCUCUUCAGGCUACACAUGUCAGGUGUACCAGAAGCACCUUCCGCCUCCAGCUCACUUCUGGGAGAUAUUUAGAGCUGACUCCUCUCCCCUCCCCAGUCUCCAGCCACCAGCAAGCUCUCUCCUUGGUGUCCCCAGCUCCUGCCCCUCAUGCUGAUAGAAGCAUUGCCCGCUGUUCUUCCUGUUCUUACAGGUUUCCUAGUGCCUGUGACCAAACACCUUGUGUGUGCUCCCCAGGAGAGAAAACCGCUAGCAGCCUCAGACAGGUGAGGAGUUGUUCCUCCUCAGACCCAGGAAUCAUUUCCCAGUGGAAUGACACGGUGAAGUGGAUCGCCAUUUUUAAACCUUCAAUAAUAAAGAUCUUGUGUGUCAUUUCAGUUUUAAUUUUUUAUCGUCCAGUCUUUACUCUCCAUCAUUUCUUUAUCCCAGAAGCCCCAUUAAAUGUCAUUAAGAGCCAUAAAUGUAACUGGCCACUAAUGUGGAAGGAUUGUGAUCUCCGGCAAACAGCCCCGGCAAGCAAAAGAACAGGAAUCCUGGGUCAGUUUCCAACUGUGCCUGUGACUCACUGUGUGACACAAAGCAAAGCUCCACUUUUGCGGAGGGAGAGCUGUGGGGCAGCGAGACACACAUAGCCUGGGCCCUGACAGAGGUGGAGGGGUUUCCCUGCAUGCAGGAAGCUCAGGGGUCCCUGUUGGAAUCCAGUUCCAUAGUAACUCCUUAGUAAUGGCCAUGAGCUGUGCCUCCAAUGGAGACACUACCAUGGCUUGGACUGGAUUGUGGCACUUGCCCUUCGUGACAUCAUUCUCAUAGGUUAGGAAUGCACCCUGAUUAUUUCUAACUCCACUUUAAUAACUUGUUCUGGAUCUGCCCUCCAGGAAUUUAUUUGAAACUUUCUUUAUUCUAUUUAUAUUUCAGCCUGUACAGCCUUUUCAGGCAACAAGUAGAUUUACCAUUUAUGUAAAAACACUUAAUUCUAAAACACAGGAAGUGCUGCAUAAUGGUUUGUUAUA
Molecule: long non-coding RNA, 2420 nt
Filed under: Homo sapiens (human)
Lineage: Eukaryota; Metazoa; Chordata; Mammalia; Primates; Hominidae
Description: non-protein coding lnc-ATF3-1:8
Source: RNAcentral